Molecule: ribosomal RNA, 497 nt
Filed under: uncultured bacterium
Lineage: Bacteria
Description: partial 16S ribosomal RNA
Rfam family: Bacterial small subunit ribosomal RNA
Source: RNAcentral
GAUGAACGCUGGCGGCGUGCCUAAUACAUGCAAGUCGAGCGGAAAGACGCGGAGCUUGCUCCGCGGACGUUAGCCGAGGACGGGUGUGUAACGCGUGUAUAACCUCCCUAUAAUACGGGGAUCAUUUGGGAAAACCGGAUCAAAUACCGGAUAAUCUAUUGAACCGCGUGGGUCAAUAGAGAAAUACGGUUUUUCUGUCACGUAUAGAUGGUUCCGCGCCGCUUUGGCUAGUUGGUACGUUAACGGCUUACCAAGGGAACGAUGCGUAGCCGAACGCUGAGGCUGAUAGGCGACCUUGGAACUUGGCCAGGCUCAAGACGCCUACGGGAGGCAGCAGUAGGGAAUCUUCCGCAAUGGGCGAAAGCAUGACGGAGCAACGCCGCGUGAGUGAUGAAGGUCUUCGGAUCGUAAAACUCUGUUAUUAGUGAAGAACAACUGUGUAAGUAACUAUGGACGUAUUGACGGUACCUAAUAAGAAAGCAACGGCUAACUACGUG